GUGUUGUAUGAAAGGAGAGAAGGUUAGCACUCCCCUUGACAAGGAUGGAAGAAGCCCUCAGGCCUGACAACACGCAUACGGUUAAGGCACUGCCACCUACUUUGUGGCAUCUAACCACUGUUUUUG
Molecule: non-coding RNA, 126 nt
Filed under: Octodon degus (degu)
Lineage: Eukaryota; Metazoa; Chordata; Mammalia; Rodentia; Octodontidae
Source: RNAcentral